UUGAAAGUGUCAAACCACACCAGAUGGUUUAAAUAAAUUUGUUCUGAGGAGGGCCCCCAUCAGGGCUGAAACGUAAACACAAUAAAAAAGUGUUUUGAUGUCUGACCUUCAUAUCCAAGAAUAAUAUUAGUCAUUAAAACUUUCACUUCAAAACGCUCUCAAGAUGUUUGAUCACGUUUCGACCGAAACGUUAGCUAAACUGAUAAAGUAUUUAUCAGGACCGUUUAUAUCCACGAAGUUUGAAUUCUUCAAUAAUUCUACUCACUGUUCAACGAAAAAAAAAUGAUACAAACGAUUCUGAAUCGAUACCCGUCGGCCAAAUCCGAUUAUCUUUGAAAACAAAAAAAUUGGAUUUUCUAAAAAUAAAAAAA
RNAcentral lists this long non-coding RNA (371 nucleotides) under Neodiprion lecontei (redheaded pine sawfly). RNAcentral's name for it is "uncharacterized LOC124293093". Lineage: Eukaryota; Metazoa; Arthropoda; Insecta; Hymenoptera; Diprionidae. The record is from RNAcentral.